GUCCACGCCGUAAACGAUGAGAACUUGCUGUUAGACAUAUAAAUAUGUUUAGUGGCGUAGCUAACGUGUUAAGUUCUCCGCCUGGGGAGUACGACCGCAAGGUUAAAACUCAAAGGAAUUGACGGGGGCCCGCACAAGCGGUGGAGCAUGUGGUUUAAUUCGAUGCUACACGAAGAACCUUACCUACUCUUGAUCUCCAAAAACCAAAUAGAGAUAUUUGGGUGCCUUCGGGAAUUGGAUGACAGGUGCUGCAUGGCUGUCGU
This 263-nucleotide ribosomal RNA is filed under the name uncultured bacterium. Its description in RNAcentral is "partial 16S ribosomal RNA". It matches the Rfam family "Bacterial small subunit ribosomal RNA", at positions 793 to 1055 of the family's 1533-position model. The record is from RNAcentral.